UUCUCUUAUAGCUCAGUGGUAGAGCGCCAGACUGUUAAUCUGUGGGCCGUAUGUUCAAAUCAUACUUGGAGAG
This 73-nucleotide transfer RNA is filed under the name Ankistrodesmus falcatus. RNAcentral describes it as "tRNA-Asn". It matches the Rfam family "tRNA". From Rfam's summary of the family: Transfer RNA (tRNA) molecules are approximately 80 nucleotides in length. Their secondary structure includes four short double-helical elements and three loops (D, anti-codon, and T loops). Further hydrogen bonds mediate the characteristic L-shaped molecular structure. tRNAs have two regions of fundamental functional importance: the anti-codon, which is responsible for specific mRNA codon recognition, and the 3' end, to which the tRNAs corresponding amino acid is attached (by aminoacyl-tRNA synthetases). tRNAs cope with the degeneracy of the genetic code in two manners: having more than one tRNA (with a specific anti-codon) for a particular amino acid; and 'wobble' base-pairing, i.e. permitting non-standard base-pairing at the 3rd anti-codon position. Lineage: Eukaryota; Viridiplantae; Chlorophyta; Chlorophyceae; Sphaeropleales; Selenastraceae. The record is from RNAcentral.